Molecule: ribosomal RNA, 253 nt
Filed under: uncultured bacterium
Lineage: Bacteria
Description: partial 16S ribosomal RNA
Rfam family: Bacterial small subunit ribosomal RNA
Source: RNAcentral
UACGGAGGGUGCAAGCGUUAUCCGGAUUCACUGGGUUUAAAGGGUGCGUCGGCGGGUGUGUAAGUCCGUGGUGAAAUCUCCGAGCUUAACUCGGAAACUGCCAUGGGUACUGCAUGUCUUGAAUGUUGUGGAGGUGAGCGGAAUAUGUCAUGUAGCGGUGAAAUGCUUAGAUAUGACAUAGAACACCAAUUGCGAAGGCAGCUCACUACACAAAUAUUGACGCUGAGGCACGAAAGCGUGGGGAUCAAACAGG